CCUACGGGUGGCAGCAGUGAGGAAUAUUGGUCAAUGGACGAGAGUCUGAACCAGCCAAGUAGCGUGAAGGAUGACUGCCCUAUGGGUUGUAAACUUCUUUUAUAUGGGAAUAAAAUGGUGCACGGGUGGGAUUUAGUAUGUACCCGAUGAAUAAGGAUCGGCUAACUCCGUGCCAGCAGCCGCGGGAAUACGGAGGCACCGAGCGUUGUCCGGAUUUAUUGGGUUUAACGGGAGCGUAGGUGGAGUGUUAAGUCAGUGGUGAAAGUUUGCGGCUCAACCGUAAAAUUGCAGUUGAAACUGGCAGUCUUGAGUACAGUAGAGGUGAGCGGAAUUCGUGGUGUAGCGGGGAAAUGCUUAGAUAUCACGAAGAACUCCGAUUGCGAAGGCAGCUCACUGGACUGCAACUGACACUGAGGCUCGAAAGUGUGGGUAUCAAACAGGAUUAGAUACCCCUGUAGUC
RNAcentral lists this ribosomal RNA (460 nucleotides) under uncultured bacterium. Its description in RNAcentral is "partial 16S ribosomal RNA". It matches the Rfam family "Bacterial small subunit ribosomal RNA", at positions 338 to 795 of the family's 1533-position model. The record is from RNAcentral.